Long non-coding RNA from Homo sapiens (human), 1875 nucleotides. The record is from Ensembl. NCBI's taxonomy places the organism in Eukaryota, Metazoa, Chordata, Mammalia, Primates, Hominidae.
CACAGUUCCUUCCACGCAGCUUCUCUGUGGGUCCAUUCAGCUGGCGCGCUGCUUCCUAUCUUUGUAAGGGAAGAGCUAAGUGCAGACAAAGCCCUGACGAAUAGAGGCCUGCGCAGAGUGCCCGGGGUGCAGGGCAGCAGGGCAGCCAGUGAACCACUGAGCUCGCACUGUAGCCAGUCCUGUGUGCCCCUGCUGGAUUCUGCUUCUAUGAGGGAGGCAGCAAGGAGUUGGGACUUCACAGGUGAAAGGACUUGCCAGGGUCUUACUUUGUCGCCCAGGCUGGAGUACAGUGGCAUGAUCGUAGCUCAUUGCAGCCUCCACCUCCCUGGGCUCAGGAGAUCCAUCUCAGCCUCCUGAGUAGCUGGGACCACAGGUUUUGUUCAGGUUUAGCACAAGCUGUGAUGAAUAUCUUCAAGCCUCUGCUUCCUGCUGUGGAAUUGUUGCCAAAGGACACAUUCCCAGAUGGGAUUACUGAGUCAGAGGAAGUGGACAUUGAGUGGCUCUCAACAGACAGGCUGUGUUGCUCUCACAGUGCCCAGGUACCACCAGCAAUGUAUACACAUACAGGAAGCGCCGGCUUCCCUGUUGUCUUGUUGCUGUGGCGUGUUGGGGUCUCUAAGACCACCCUGGGUUUGUUGAUUGGCUAGGAGAACUCGCAGAACUCAGCAUACAGUGAUACUCGAGGCUAUGAUGUAUUACGACAACUGGAAAUGAAGCAAAUUCAGCAAAGGAAAAAGGCACAUGGGUCAAGUCCAGAGGAAAUGGAGUGUGAGGGUCCAAGACCCUCUCACAUGCUGGACGCGCCCACUUCCCCCAGAAGUGUGUUGGGACAACACGUGUGGAAUGUCAUUUGUCAGGGACACUCACUAGAGAUUUGGCACCGAGGGUUUUACUGCAGGCUAGUCACAAAGGCCCCCUCUGCCUAGCAUGUACCAAAAUUCUGGACUCCCAGUACGAAGACAUAAACCACAGUGUUUACACAGUUUAGGGGCAGUGAGCCAUUCAUAUCAGGGAAGGGCGGGAACCCUCCCCAAAUCCAAUUUCCCAGAUACGAACCAAGGGCCAACCUUGCAAGCAGUCCUUGCUAAAGAUAACAUUGCUAUAAUUUGUAUUUCUUUCAUUUUUCUUUUGAGAGUAAAUCAUUUCGAUAUAAAAUAAUGAGAUGGGACCUGGCCAUCCGAAGGUUCAUUCACUCUCAAGGCUGGAGGUUGAUGCCAGCUGUCGGCUGUGACCUCAGGUGGGUCUGGCGGCCAGCUGCGGCCCCUCCAUGUGGCUUGGGCUUCUCUCCAGUGUGAAGUGGCUGUGUUUCAAGGAUGAGGAACUGACAAAGAGGGAACCAGGUGGAAGCAGUGUCACCUUUUCUAUCCUAACCACAGAAGCCACCCUGUGCCACUUCUACCACAUUGUUUAUUAGAAACAAGUAUGAAUACUGGCCCAUAUUCAAAGGGAGGAGAAUUAAACUCCACUUUUGAUGGGAGGAGGAUCAAAUAAUUUAUAGAGGUUAUUUAAAACCAUCACAAACAUAUUAGAUUUGCCAUGUUUAGGCAUUUAUUCUGCAAAAAAACAUACAAAUGUGCAAAGUUACUUGAGGCUAUUUUCUGCAGUGUUAUUUGUGUUAGUUAAAAAAAAAAAGGAAACAAUCUAAAUGUCCAUCAAGGGUCAGGUGCAGUGGCUCACGCCUGUGAUCCCAGCACUUUGGGAGGCCGAGGCGGGUGGAUUAUCUGAGGUCAGGAGUUCGAGACCAACCUGGCCAACAUGGUGAAACCCCAUCUCUAUUAAAAGUACAAAAAAUUAGCCGGGCAUGGUGGUGCAUGCCUGUAGUCCCAGCUACUCGGGAGGCUGAGGCAGGAGAAUUGCUUGAACUCUGGAGGUGGA